AGUUUCGUUUUAUCUGAUUUAUUUUUCUUUCUUCUCCGUUCACAAGGAAAAGAUAGGUUCGGUUUUGAUGACGAGAGAUGCGAAGGAUAUUACAACACAACUAUAUAGUACUAAUAAAAAUAUAAAAACGAGAGAAAAUCGGAGUGGAAAAACGGCAGAUUGGAUCAUGUCAGUUCUACGCAACAACAACAAAAAAAAACGGCCGUCCUAUUUACAAGGCUAUAUUGGUGAGCUAUAUUCUUGUCCCAUCUUUUAUAUUGAUUUUUAUUCAUUCAUUUCCCUUCUCGCAAUUUUCUCCUUCAUCCCGUAAUUCCAAACAUUUUUUUUUCUUUUUUCUUUCUUCUUUUUUUAUGUUUGGAGGUAAACAAUAAUUCGUGCAGCGCUUCGUCUUCCUUUAAUGGUUCCUCGUCGUUUGCAAUCGGAACGAGACACACCAUUUCAAUUCUAUCCCGUCCGUGAUUCUUCUUCUUCAUCGCGAGUUUUCGGCAUCAUCUCGGUGUGCCCUUUGAAAUCGCGCCUAAUUUCCGAGUACAUUCGACAUUGACAAGGACGUUGGCCAUCAACAUGCAAAUUCUAAUUGCAAAGGAUUGACGAGGAGUCACUGCCCUAUGUGGUAUGCAUUUCGUGUUGUAGACACGGUCUAUUGAACGUCUACGUAUGUAUGUGUGUAUGCAGUUGAUUGUAGUGCACCUCGUGUUUGUUGGCUCGGCGAAGAAAAGGAGGUCUGUGUUUAUAAAAGAAUGGACUGGCAAAACAUCGGUUGCCAUGGUGAGGUUCGUUACACAACCCCCAACCAUUGUAAUAAUACGUUCCCAUGAAACUUCUCAGAUUCAUCAAUUUCGUGUACAUUUACAAGUAUUUGAAAUAUAAACAAAAAAAAAGCUA
Molecule: long non-coding RNA, 885 nt
Organism: Daphnia magna
Lineage: Eukaryota; Metazoa; Arthropoda; Branchiopoda; Diplostraca; Daphniidae
Exons: 3
Source: RefSeq, a predicted model, not a curated record